UACCUUAUGAAUAAGCAUCGGCUAACUUCGUGCCAGCAGCCGCGGUAAUACGAAGGAUGCGAGCGUUAUCCGGAUUUAUUGGGUUUAAAGGGUGCGCAGGCGGGCUUUUAAGUCAGCGGUGAAAUCUAGAGGCUUAACCUCUAGCUUGCCGUUGAAACUGAUUGUCUUGAGUAUAUUCGAAGUAGGCGGAAUUCGUUGUGUAGCGGUGAAAUGCAUAGAUAUAACGAGGAACUCCGAUUGCGUAGGCAGCUUACUAGACUAUAACUGACGCUCAUGCACGAAAGUGUGGGUAUCGAACAGGAUUAGAUACCCUGGUAGUCCACACAGUAAACGAUGAUUACUGGUUUUUUGCGAUAUACAGUAAGAGACUAAGCGAAAGCGAUAAGUAAUCCACCUGGGGAGUACGUUGGCAACAAUGAAACU
This 423-nucleotide ribosomal RNA is filed under the name uncultured Bacteroidota bacterium. RNAcentral describes it as "bacterial SSU rRNA". It matches the Rfam family "Bacterial small subunit ribosomal RNA", at positions 476 to 901 of the family's 1533-position model. The record is from RNAcentral. Lineage: Bacteria; Pseudomonadati; Bacteroidota.